AGCGGAUAACAAACCUCUACCAAA
Molecule: non-coding RNA, 24 nt
Filed under: Arabidopsis thaliana (thale cress)
Lineage: Eukaryota; Viridiplantae; Streptophyta; Magnoliopsida; Brassicales; Brassicaceae
Source: RNAcentral